AGUGAACGCUGGCGGCAGGCCUAAUACAUGCAAGUCGAACGGCAGCACAGCAGAGCUUGCUCUGUGGGUGGCGAGUGGCGGACGGGUGAGGAAUACGUGGGAAUCUGCCCAGUCGUGGGGGAUAACGUAGGGAAACUUACGCUAAUACCGCAUGCGCCCUUCGGGGAAAGCCGGGGACCUUCGGGCCUGGCGCGAUUGGAUGAGCCCACGUCGGAUUAGCUAGUUGGCGGGGUAAAGGCCCACCAAGGCGACGAUCCGUAGCUGGUCUGAGAGGAUGAUCAGCCACACUGGAACUGAGACACGGUCCAGACUCCUACGGGAGGCAGCAGUAGGGAAUAUUGGACAAUGGGCGCAAGCCUGAUCCAGCCAUGCCGCGUGAGUGAAGAAGGCCCUCGGGUUGUAAAGCUCUUUUGUCCGGAAAGAAAAGACGCCGGGUUAAUACCCUGGUGUCCUGACGGUACCGGAAGAAUAAGCACCGGCUAACUUCGUGCCAGCAGCCGCGGU
This 504-nucleotide ribosomal RNA is filed under the name uncultured bacterium. RNAcentral describes it as "bacterial SSU rRNA". It matches the Rfam family "Bacterial small subunit ribosomal RNA", at positions 29 to 521 of the family's 1533-position model. The record is from RNAcentral.